RNAcentral lists this ribosomal RNA (447 nucleotides) under uncultured bacterium. RNAcentral describes it as "bacterial SSU rRNA". It matches the Rfam family "Bacterial small subunit ribosomal RNA", at positions 330 to 792 of the family's 1533-position model. The record is from RNAcentral.
UCCAGACUCCUACGGGAGGCAGCAGUGGGGAAUAUUGGGCAAUGGGCGCAAGCCUGACCCAGCAACGCCGCGUGAAGGAAGAAGGCUUUCGGGUUGUAAACUUCUUUUGACAGGGAAGAGUAGAAGACGGUACCUGUCGAAUAAGCCACGGCUAACUACGUGCCAGCAGCCGCGGUAAUACGUAGGUGGCAAGCGUUGUCCGGAUUUACUGGGUGUAAAGGGCGUGUAGCCGGGUUGACAAGUCAGAUGUGAAAUCCCGCGGCUUAACCGCAGAACUGCAUUUGAAACUGUUGAUCUUGAGUACUGGAGAGGCAGACGGAAUUCCUAGUGUAGCGGUGAAAUGCGUAGAUAUUAGGAGGAACACCAGUGGCGAAGGCGGUCUGCUGGACAGCAACUGACGGUGAGGCGCGAAAGCGUGGGGAGCAAACAGGAUUAGAUACCCGAGUA